Non-coding RNA from Paramuricea clavata, 753 nucleotides. Lineage: Eukaryota; Metazoa; Cnidaria; Anthozoa; Malacalcyonacea; Plexauridae. The record is from the annotation of a GenBank genome assembly.
GCUUGCAUGUUCUUGGGAAAUACAUGGUUAAUUGUUGGACACUGGGUCGGAUGUAACAUGCAUCAGCUCUACACUGCCCGACGCAAAAACGCAUAUAAAUUGUUUGUCCCCAUUCCUAGGACAGAUUUAGCAUCGUUGCAAAGACCAUAAACGUCUACGAAAUAUUUGUCAAAAUCAAAAUAUUUGAAGCGAAAAUGAGAUGAAGUUUGAAGCAAAAUGGGUGAAGCGAAAACGAGACCAGAAUAUGGACAACCAUUUUGCGUGAAGUCACAUGACAUUUGAGUAGGAAGAACGCAUAGAAAUGUUUUGGUCCCCAGAACAUAUUUAGUAGUGUUAGAAAGAGCAUGCAAUUCUGUACAAUCCGAUGUAAAAAUAAAAAAAUUGUUAUAUAGUUAGUGUCAAAGUUCAAUUUUUCUGUUUGCCGAUUGGUUAAAACCGUGUCACGUGCCGGUCCACAAAACGUCAUGUUCGGCAACCGGUCCGCAAUGAAACAUUUAUUGACCGGUCAAUAAUAAAAUGGGUGCAAUACGCAUGCGUGUCAACCAUGAAGUUCCAAAGUUCAUUUUUAAAACUUUUUACUAAACAUUUACGGAGUUCCAUUUAUCCAGUUUUGGUUUUGGUUUUGGUUUUUGUUUUUUUUUGUUUUUGGUUUUGGUUUCAGUUUUUUUGUUUUUUUUUGUUUUUGGUUUUUUUGUUUUUUUUUCAAAUUAAGUUCACUCCAAUAACCGAUGAAUUAUUCAUACUUUGACACUU